AACGAACGCUGGCGGCAGGCCUAACACAUGCAAGUCGAGCGCCCUUUCGGGGGAGCGGCGGCCGGGUGAGUAACGCGUGGGAAUAUGCCCUUCUCUACGGAAUAGCCUCGGGAAACUGAGAGUAAUACCGUAUACGCCCUUUGGGGGAAAGAUUUAUCGGGGAAGGAUUAGCCCGCGUUGGAUUAGGUAGUUGGUGGGGUAAUGGCCUACCAAGCCGACGAUCCAUAGCUGGUUUGAGAGGAUGAUCAGCCACACUGGGACUGAGACACGGCCCAGACUCCUACGGGAGGCAGCAGUGGGGAAUCUUAGACAAUGGAGGCAACCCUGAUCUAGCCAUGCCGCGUGAGUGAUGAAGGCCUUAGGGUUGUAAAGCUCUUUCAGCUGGGAAGAUAAUGACGGUACCAGCAGAAGAAGCCCCGGCUAACUCCGUG
Molecule: ribosomal RNA, 431 nt
Filed under: uncultured bacterium
Lineage: Bacteria
Description: partial 16S ribosomal RNA
Rfam family: Bacterial small subunit ribosomal RNA
Source: RNAcentral